This is a non-coding RNA of Saimiri boliviensis boliviensis (Bolivian squirrel monkey), 960 nucleotides long. Lineage: Eukaryota; Metazoa; Chordata; Mammalia; Primates; Cebidae. The record is from RefSeq and is a predicted model, not a curated record.
AUGGAGGUCUCAGGGUUCUUGAACAGUAAGAUGGAUGUCACAGCCAAAUGCCAACUUGAAAUCUGGAUGGAAAUGGCUCCCUCCAAGCCCGAGCCUCAGGGGAAGGCUCAGCGGUCACAGCCCACCAACGCUUCCUCUCAGCUGCCAACGCUGAUCGGGGUGGGAAGUGCGGCUGCUUCCUGGAGAGGCUCAGCCCUGAGGUUACGGAAGACAGUGGGCAGACUGCGGAAAAUCACCCAGAGAUUGCUGCUGACAACUUCAGGUCUUCAGAGCAUCACCCUUCUGUUUAUAGCUGGAGAGAGGGGUGCCCAGCCAGGGAGAGCCAGGAACGGGUUCCGGCUUCCAUCACUCAGGUACUCAGGAGCCCCUGGUUCGUGAGGCUGGCAAGUCCCAGAUGAAGGUUCCUCGUUAUUGUCUCAGAUCACCAAAGGGUGGACGGACGGGGAGGAGGAGGGAAGCAAGGAAAAAUAAGGAAAGAAAGACACAGGAUCCCAUCUUUUCACAGCGCGGUCUUGGCUGCGGUGUGUCGAGGACCGGUCUCUAGCAGUCAUUCCCAAACCUGAACAUCCAGGCGGCCAGCCUCUAAGACGAGGCCCCAUGGGAAGUGAAGCCCCAGCGGAGCCACUCCUGGAUGUUCUGGUGGGAGGGUUUUGGGGAAUCCUCCACACAGCCCAUCUCAUCUCCAAGAGGCUGGAGGCCCCACAGGUGGACACAGUGUUGGGCAGCCCCUUGGUGGCGGUGGCCAGUGUGCGGGCUAGGAGACUGGUCCAGUCGGUGGACCUCAUGCCUGCUGGGCACCACCCACGGCACUGGGAACUUCCUUGCUGCUUUUGGUGCUGUUGGCACAGCCUUUCCAGAGCAGCAGGAUGAAUGCCAGUCUCCUCCCACGACCCUCCAGGAACGCAGACCAACACAGCUGCUCUAUUAAAUACAUGCACUUCUUAUUCUGAGUAUGUCUGA